UACGGAGGGUGCAAACGUUGCUCGGAAUUAUUGGGCGUAAAGCGCACGUAGGCGGCUCGCUAAGUUGGAUGUGAAAGCCCCGGGCUCAACCCGGGAAGUGCAUUCAAAACUGGCAAGCUUGAAUAUGGAAGAGGGUCGCGGAAUUCCCGGUGUAGAGGUGAAAUUCGUAGAUAUCGGGAGGAACACCAGUGGCGAAGGCGGCGACCUGGGCCAAUAUUGACGCUGAGGUGCGAAAGCGUGGGGAGCAAACAG
This 252-nucleotide ribosomal RNA is filed under the name uncultured bacterium. RNAcentral's name for it is "partial 16S ribosomal RNA". It matches the Rfam family "Bacterial small subunit ribosomal RNA", at positions 524 to 775 of the family's 1533-position model. The record is from RNAcentral.